This 814-nucleotide ribosomal RNA is filed under the name uncultured Enterococcus sp. Its description in RNAcentral is "bacterial SSU rRNA". It matches the Rfam family "Bacterial small subunit ribosomal RNA", at positions 564 to 1378 of the family's 1533-position model. The record is from RNAcentral. Lineage: Bacteria; Bacillati; Bacillota; Bacilli; Lactobacillales; Enterococcaceae.
AGCGAGCGCAGGCGGUUUCUUAAGUCUGAUGUGAAAGCCCCCGGCUCAACCGGGGAGGGUCAUUGGAAACUGGGAGACUUGAGUGCAGAAGAGGAGAGUGGAAUUCCAUGUGUAGCGGUGAAAUGCGUAGAUAUAUGGAGGAACACCAGUGGCGAAGGCGGCUCUCUGGUCUGUAACUGACGCUGAGGCUCGAAAGCGUGGGGAGCGAACAGGAUUAGAUACCCUGGUAGUCCACGCCGUAAACGAUGAGUGCUAAGUGUUGGAGGGUUUCCGCCCUUCAGUGCUGCAGCAAACGCAUUAAGCACUCCGCCUGGGGAGUACGACCGCAAGGUUGAAACUCAAAGGAAUUGACGGGGGCCCGCACAAGCGGUGGAGCAUGUGGUUUAAUUCGAAGCAACGCGAAGAACCUUACCAGGUCUUGACAUCCUUUGACCACUCUAGAGAUAGAGCUUCCCCUUCGGGGGCAAAGUGACAGGUGGUGCAUGGUUGUCGUCAGCUCGUGUCGUGAGAUGUUGGGUUAAGUCCCGCAACGAGCGCAACCCUUAUUGUUAGUUGCCAUCAUUUAGUUGGGCACUCUAGCGAGACUGCCGGUGACAAACCGGAGGAAGGUGGGGAUGACGUCAAAUCAUCAUGCCCCUUAUGACCUGGGCUACACACGUGCUACAAUGGGAAGUACAACGAGUUGCGAAGUCGCGAGGCUAAGCUAAUCUCUUAAAGCUUCUCUCAGUUCGGAUUGUAGGCUGCAACUCGCCUACAUGAAGCCGGAAUCGCUAGUAAUCGCGGAUCAGCACGCCGCGGUGAAUACGUUCCCGGG